Molecule: non-coding RNA, 588 nt
Filed under: Pongo abelii (Sumatran orangutan)
Lineage: Eukaryota; Metazoa; Chordata; Mammalia; Primates; Hominidae
Source: RNAcentral
UAGAGGUGAAGAUACGCAGGACGUCCUCUAAAGCAACUUCCGUGGGUGCCAGGUUAUGGGCUGGGGGCGGUGCUGACCUUGAGAGAGCGGAGGAAGCGCAGGCGCAGCACAGUUUAAACUUGGUUUUGUGGGGGGACGAACAGCGUGACAAUUAAAGAAGAUGUAGGAAUCGAAUACCCAUCUCGAGUUCUGGAUAUGUCCUUUGAGAAGUUGCCCAUGUCACCGAUCACACUGGAGGCCAAUGCAGAUACUGUGGGAAGGUUCCAUGGUAGCUAAGUGUGGACAAGCUAAUCACUGAAGUUCCCUGAUGCAGAGCUGAUAAUCUCUUUAGAGUUGGAUGGAAGACUGUGCUGCCUUGAAGUUCUGAGAGAUGCCAUGCCAAUUCAAGGCAAGGUCUUUAUUGUUGAAACUCUUCCAUAAUGACAUCUUUAUUCAGGUGAAAAUACAGGAUGAAUUUCAACUGUAUGAUAUUGUUUAUGUUCAUCAGACAUGUUAUUUCUCUUUACAAAGAUUGGUUUCAAUAAACUGGCUGUGUGACUGAUAUUAAAUAAACAUGGAAUUUUACACAUUCAUAAUAUUUGGUUUCUU